RNAcentral lists this long non-coding RNA (3215 nucleotides) under Malus domestica (apple). RNAcentral's name for it is "long non-coding RNA (MDOM_LNC009419)". The record is from RNAcentral. Lineage: Eukaryota; Viridiplantae; Streptophyta; Magnoliopsida; Rosales; Rosaceae.
AAAUGAGCGGAAGAAAGGAAAAGAAAACAGAAGCCGAAAGAAAGGGAGGACAAGCAGAAAACAUGGAGCAGAAAACAUGGAAAAGUAAAGGUGAGGAAAACAUGGAAAAGUAAGAAAACAUGGAGCAGAAAACAUGGAAAAGUAAAGGUGAGGAAAACAUGGAAAAGUAAAGGUCACCAUACACCCAUGCUUUCUUCCAAUACUCCCCCUCAAGCUGGAUCAAAGGGAUUAAUUGAUCCAAGCUUGAACAAAAGACGUUGAAAAUCAGCAGAGGGUAAUCCUUUUGUGAAAAUAUCCGCAAGUUGAUCAUGACUGCGCGUGUAGUGAGUGUCGAUCACCUUGGACUGAACUUGAUUUCUGACGUAGUGACAAUCAACUUCAAUAUGUUUAGUUCGCUCAUGGAAUACAGGAUUCGAUGCAAUGUGCAUCGCGGCCUGAUUAUCACAGUGUAGGGACAUGAGUUGUUGAUGAGGAAAACCUAAAGUCAACAGAAGGCUUUUGAGCCAAAUAAGUUCACAAGCAGUGGACGCCAUAGCACGAUACUCUGCCUCUGCACUAGAGCGUGCAACAACACUUUGUUUCUUGCUUUUCCAGGUAACUAGGUUGCCUCCCACAAACGUACAAAACCCAGUGGUAGACUUGCGAUCGAUCGAGAGAAUUGCCUGCCCAGUCAGCAUCGGUAUAGCCUGAGAUCUGAGUGUGACUAUUGUUGCGCAUAAAGAAUUCCUCUACCAAUGGAACCCUUAAGAUAACGUAGCACACGAUGAACAAUCUUCAAAUGAUCCAUGCUUGGAGAGUGCAUAAACUGGCUAACAAUGCUGACAGCAUAUGAUAUAUCAGGACGUGUGAUAGUCAGAUAAAUGAGUUUGCCAACCAUUCUUUGAUAGUAACUUAAAUUGGGAACUGGAUCACCGUGAGUUUUUAGCUUCAAGUUGCUAUCCAAGGGGGUACGAGCAGGCUUGCAAUCUGUCAUUUUUUGCUUCGUGAAGAAGAUCCAUGACAUACUUGCGUUGGUUGAGGAAGAAACCCUUGUGAGAGUGUGCCAUCUCGAUGCCCAGAAAGUAUUUGAGAGUGCCAAGAUCCUUGAUAACAAACUUGUUGUUGAGAUACUGUUUAAGAGCAUUAAUCUCUGACAUAUUAUCACCUGUCAUAAUUAGAUCAUCAACAUAAAUGAGCACAACUAGUUUACCCACUAAGCUGGAACGAACAAAUAGGGAAGAAUCCGCAAUACUUCGACAAAAACCAACCCUUUCCAGAACAUGACUGAGCUUGGCAUACCAUGCACGUGGACUUUGCUUGAGACCAUAAAUGGAUUUAUGGAGUUUGCACACCAUUUCUGGAUUGUUUGAUUGAGGAUGACCUGGGGGUAGCUUCAUGUAAACCUCUUCUUCAAGUUCACCAUGCAGGAAAGUAUUUUUAACAUCCAUUUGAAAGAGAGGCCAUGCAUUGUUAAUUGCAACCGACAACAAUACUCUAACAGUGUUCAUUUUUGCCACCAGAGCAAAUGUCUCUUUAUAAUCGACGCCAUAGGUUUGUGUAAAACCUCGAGCAACCAAGCGAGCCUUAUUCCUUUCGAUUGUGCCAUCUGAAUGAAACUUAGUUUUGUACACCCAACGACUCCCCACUGCCUUCUUUCCUUUUGGAAGUUUCACUAUAGUCCAUGUGUUAUUUUCAUGGAGGGCUUGAAGCUCCUCUGCCAUAGCAUAGCAUUUCUCCACUCACUGUGAAGAUUGGCUUCUUGAAAACUUUGAGGUUCUCGAGCUUCAUUAAUGGCACUUAGGAAUGUAGCAAAAGAAGAUGAGACUUUGCUAUAAUCAAUAACAUCAGUCACGGGAUACCUGGCAGUGUAGGUCACAUAAUCAUGCAACUUGGAUGGAAGUUUCCUCUCUCGUGCAGGAUUGCGACGAACUGUAGGAGAUUGAACUACAGGUAUUUGAACAACAUCAUGGUUGGAAGGAUCACUGGAGGGUGCAGUGUGAAUCUCUGAUGAGGAAGGGUUUUCAUCUUCAAGAUGUUCCACCGAGUGAAGGUUAACAUCAUCCGGCACAUGAUCACUAGGAGUGCAUGUUGCAUCUUCUCCGUUUGGAUAUGGAAAAGGAAAUAAGUCCAUCAAAUGCUCAAAAUGCUCCCCCCUGUCUAGAGUAAUCCAGUGAUUGUGAGAAGUAAGGAACAUGUUCUUCAAAUUUAACAUCCCUUGAAACAACUAUUUUUCUAGUUGUUGAAUUAUAGCACUUGUAACCUUUUUGGGUAGAUGAAUAACCUAGAAAGACACAUUUGGCAGCCCUUGGGUCUAGCUUGUCACGAUUUUGAGUUUGAAUGUGAACAAAGCAUGUACACCCAAAGACUCUCAAAUGGGAAAAGUUGAUCUUUCUAUUUUUCAAGACCUCAUAAGGUGAUUUAAAAUUCAACACUUUACUAGGCAAUCUAUUGAUGAGAUAUGCCGCAGUAAGAACUCCUUGAGACCAAAACUUUUUAGGCACAUUCAUGUGAAACAUAAGAGCUCUAGUCUUCUCAAGUAGAUCUCUAUUCUUCCUCUCGACCACCCCAUUUUGUUGAGGUGUUCCAACACAGCUUGUUUGGUGUAAUAUACCAUGCGUGCUCAAGUAGUGUGACAUGUUAUGAGACAUAUAUUCUGUGCCGUUAUCUGAUCGUAAAAUAUGAAUUUUUGAAGCAAAUUGGGUGGCCACAAGUCUAUGAAAAUCUUGAAAAACUUCCAUCACUUCACUUUUAAAUUUCAAAAGAUACAACCAAGUAAUCCUUGUGAAAUCAUCCACAAAAGUUACAAAAUAUUUGUAUCCAUCAAAAGACUCUAUAGUUGGUCCCCAAACAUCAGAAUGCACAAUUUCAAAAGGGUUACUAGCCCUAGACAAAGAGGAAGUAAAUGGUAAUCUAGUAAACUUAGAAAAAUGACAAACAUCACAAGGACUUGUAACUUUGCACAUAUUUGGGAACAAGGUGGAUAGAACUUUUUCAGAAGGAUGUGCUAGGCGUUGGUGCCAAAGUUGUUGUUCUUGAGCUAAGCUUGAAGUGACUUGAAAAACCUUGGGAACUUGAAUAUGCUUGGAAAGAUAGUAGAGACCAUUUAAGAAAAAUCCUUCACCAAUCAUCUUCUUGGUGACUACAUCCUGAAAGAUCACAUUUUUGGGAGAGAAAAUGGCAAGACAAUUUAAUGAGUUUGUGAUCUUGCUAACAGAUAAAAGUUGAAAAGGGAAUGA